Molecule: ribosomal RNA, 253 nt
Filed under: uncultured bacterium
Lineage: Bacteria
Description: partial 16S ribosomal RNA
Rfam family: Bacterial small subunit ribosomal RNA
Source: RNAcentral
UACAGAGGGUGCAAGCGUUAAUCGGAAUUACUGGGCGUAAAGCGUGCGUAGAUGGUUAUGUAAGUCGGAUGUGAAAGCCCAGGGCUCAACCUUGGAAUUGCAUUCGAGACUGCAUAGCUAGGAUGCGGAAGAGGGAAGCGGAAUUUCCGGUGUAGCGGUGAAAUGCGUAGAUAUCGGAAGGAACACCAGUGGCGAAAGCGGCUUCCUGGUCCAGCACCGACGUUCAGGCACGAAAGCGUGGGGAGCAAACAGG